GACGAACGCUGGCGGCGUGCCUAAUACAUGCAAGUAGAACGCUGAAGAGAGGAGCUUGCUCUUCUUGGAUGAGUUGCGAACGGGUGAGUAACGCGUAGGUAACCUGCCUGGUAGCGGGGGAUAACUAUUGGAAACGAUAGCUAAUACCGCAUAAAAUGGAUUAUCGCAUGAUAAUCCAUUGAAAGGUGCAAAUGCAUCACUACCAGAUGGACCUGCGUUGUAUUAGCUAGUUGGUGGGGUAACGGCUCACCAAGGCGACGAUACAUAGCCGACCUGAGAGGGUGAUCGGCCACACUGGGACUGAGACACGGCCCAGACUCCUACGGGAGGCAGCAGUAGGGAAUCUUCGGCAAUGGACGGAAGUCUGACCGAGCAACGCCGCGUGAGUGAAGAAGGUUUUCGGAUCGUAGAGCUCUGUUGUAAGAGAAGAACGAGUGUGAGAGUGGAAAGUUCACACUGUGACGGUAUCUUACCAGAAAGGGACGGCUAACUACGUG
This 497-nucleotide ribosomal RNA is filed under the name uncultured bacterium. RNAcentral describes it as "partial 16S ribosomal RNA". It matches the Rfam family "Bacterial small subunit ribosomal RNA", at positions 28 to 507 of the family's 1533-position model. The record is from RNAcentral.